ACAUAACAAGAAGCACUCAACACUGUGCUAAAACUUUAAACAUUAAAUUGAAAAAAAAAAAGAAAAGAAAAGAAAAAGGGCCCAAAAUUUUAUUUCAACUAAAAAUAAACAAAUCCUCUCCCUUUUCAUCGUGCGAGAAGGAAUUUCCUUUUGUCAACAAAAAAAGAAAACCAAGAGAGAGAGAGAGAGAGAAAACACCAUUUUGUGACAAAGACAUGGCAAAUAAAGAACAAAUUUUUCAAACACGAAAACGCACCCCACCACUCCCAAAAUCCUCUCGUUUCAGUAAACAAUUGGUGGUGCUAAAAAAAAUCGCAUGUGGUUCAAAGAAACCCAAGGCAGAGCCAGCGGCAGAGACUGAGAGACCCUCUGUUGAGCAGAAGAAAUUUGCCCCAAUUCCAUUCCACCACAAAUCACGCAGUCCUGCUUCGUGGGUUUCAAUUUGGUCUGAAACAACUGUAGAAGAUAAGCACGCCAACCCAACUGAGACACAAAGAAAGAAAGAAAGAAAAAUCAAACCCAAAAUCCAUCCAUCCCAUUUGAGGUGUAUCUUUGAUGUGUCCUCUAUCCUGAACAACAUUCCAAGCAAAGCUAGCUGGCCAAACGAGUCCGUGCAAUGAUUCAGCUGUUUUGGAAUGGGGUUAUUGCAACCACAAAGAUUGGUUCAUAUGCUUUGCCUGCUGAUUUUUUCAUAUUCAUUUCAGCCUUUCCAGGUUGGAGAAAACCGACGAGAAUCUUGAACUUUAUGGAGAGAAGUAUCGCACCACCCCGACCUAGUUGAAUGGUCCAAAGGCAGCUGCAAAAGGAUAAAGGUAACUUAUUAUAUGGAACCUUUGGGGCAAGUUAGCUUUGAAUUCUGAGAUGUUUGCUCUGCCUUUCUCCAAGAUUUAUGCUGGUGAAGUAGAACGAAAUAGAAAAGGUUACUGCCAGAGGAAUGUCUAGAGGGCAAUUUUUCUUUGCGUCAUCGAGAAGCUUGCAAAAAUCUUGAAUAGCAUCAACUUGAGCUUGUUUUUGAAUAGGCAACAAUUGAACUUUCAGCAGUGAGGAGAGAAAGAGAGAGAGAGAGAGAUUAUGUUAAAGAGUUUCUUACAAAAAUAGAAAUUUUGGACUGGAAAGUCCAUUUAGGCUUGUAGUGUCAUUUGAUAUGAUCUCAUGCUGCUUGUGUUUACGCAUAUUCUGAGUGUCAAGAAGAUACACGGGGGAGCCCGUCGACAUCUCGUGGUCGUGGCCCGGGGAUUCUCAUCUUCUUUCACUUAGACAUUCGACCAUUGGCUUGGUAUAAUUUUUUUGUCAUAUGAUUGUCGUUUAAUCCUUCCAACUUGCAUGAAUAAAAAUAGUUUAAAGAAUCGUGUUGAUGAAUAUGUUUUGAGGGUCCAUUUUUUAAUUUUAAAAACAUGUUCUAAAAUUUUGUAAGUUAAAAAAAAUAAUAAAACAUCAAAAAUUCCAUUUUGACCCAUUCCAAAGUUUGAUAACCAAUUAGAUAGAAAAGAAAUAUCUCCAAAUAUCUCUCUAAUACCAAGAUUUUAUUUAUCAACCAAAGCCUCAACGGAUUAGAUUCCAUUGGUCAUUCUUGAGAAGUCCCAUGCAUAUAUUUGAAUCUCUACCCCUUGUACUCAAAAUAAUAAUAAAUCGGACAAGUCAAGAUUAACCUAUAUAUUAAAACUCCAUCUAUUAUUUUAAGUUCAGCACUAAUAAUUACGAAAUGUGACAAAAGUAAUCAAAAAUCGAAUAUUAGCAAUGGAUUAAACAUAAUUCAUACUAUUCGUAGUCCCUUUAAACAUUUCAUGAUAUUCUUUAAAAAAUAGUAAAAAACCAUCAGAGAGAAGAAUUCAAUUACCGAUAGAAAACUGAGCUUUACAGGCCCCAAAAACAGGCCCAUGUGUGAAGUUACAAAGCCCAGAGGCCCACUAUAUUCCCGCUCCCAUAAACGACAAAUUUAUCCCGCAACAUAGAAUAUUCCAAAAACAUUUUAUCAGAUUCCAUAAUUACUUGUCCGCUACGCAACCCGAGAUGCGGGCCCAUGGAGGUACUGUUUAGAAACCCGAAUCAUUACAAAUAUCUGACGCCUUUAACGCAAAAAUAUCUCGAAUCGUACUACGAUAUUUUUUCUACAGCUGUCAACAGGAUUAGAACGAAACCAGAUCCACCCAUUUCUCAUCACAGCUUUAAAAUUGCAUAAAUAUAUUUCUCUUCGCCGGCCGACGGAACUGGUUUGAUUAAAAUUAUAUCGAAUUUGCGUUUCUCUAUUCAAAGCUUUGAGAACUUUGGGCAUGGCGGAAGCGGAAUAAACAAUGAUUUAAUGAAAACGAAGACUGGAAAUAUUUGUAUGGAGUGAGAACGAAUGAUUUAAUGAAAACGAAGACUGGAAAUAUUUGUAUGGAGUGAGAACGAAGAGCUGCACUUCAUUUUCUUAUGUAAUAUUUUUUUUCCUUGUAACAUAGAGCGACAAUGAGGAACACGAAACCCAUCGGUCAUCGGUCAUCGGUCAAAAAAGAGAGGCACCAAA
This is a non-coding RNA of Momordica charantia (bitter melon), 2506 nucleotides long. The record is from RefSeq and is a predicted model, not a curated record. Lineage: Eukaryota; Viridiplantae; Streptophyta; Magnoliopsida; Cucurbitales; Cucurbitaceae.